UGCCAGCCGCCGCGGUAACACGUAGGGGGCAAGCGUUGUUCGGAAUUACUGGGCGUAAAGGGUCCGCAGGCGGCCGUGCAAGUUGAGGGUGAAAUCCCCGGGCUCAACCCGGGAACUGCCUUCAAAACUGCGCGGCUUGAGUUCGGUAGAGGAAGAUGGAAUUCCCGGUGUAGCGGUGAAAUGCGUAGAUAUCGGGAAGAACACCAGCGGCGAAAGCGAUCUUCUGGGCCGAUACUGACGCUGAGGGACGAAAGCGUGGGGAGCAAACAGGAUUAGAUA
Molecule: ribosomal RNA, 279 nt
Filed under: uncultured bacterium
Lineage: Bacteria
Description: partial 16S ribosomal RNA
Rfam family: Bacterial small subunit ribosomal RNA
Source: RNAcentral